UACGGGGGGGGCAAGCGUUGUUCGGAAUUACUGGGCGUAAAGGGCUUGUAGGUGGCCAACUAAGUCAGACGUGAAAUCCCUCGGCUUAACCGGGGAACUGCGUCUGAUACUGGAUGGCUGGAGUGUGGGAGAGGGAUGCGGAAUUCCCGGUGUAGCGGUGAAAUGCGCAGAUAUCGGGAGGAACACCAGUGGCGAAGGCGGCUUCCUGGACCUGUUCUGACACUGAGGAGCGAAAGCGUGGGGAGCGAUCCGG
RNAcentral lists this ribosomal RNA (253 nucleotides) under uncultured bacterium. Its description in RNAcentral is "partial 16S ribosomal RNA". It matches the Rfam family "Bacterial small subunit ribosomal RNA", at positions 524 to 776 of the family's 1533-position model. The record is from RNAcentral.